RNAcentral lists this ribosomal RNA (400 nucleotides) under uncultured bacterium. RNAcentral's name for it is "bacterial SSU rRNA". It matches the Rfam family "Bacterial small subunit ribosomal RNA", at positions 359 to 776 of the family's 1533-position model. The record is from RNAcentral.
GAAUCUUGGACAAUGGGCGCAAGCCUGAUCCAGCCAUGCCGCGUGGAUGAUGAAGGCCCUAGGGUUGUAAAAUCCUUUCGUUGGGGACGAUAAUGACGGUACCCAAAGAAGAAGCUCCGGCUAACUUCGUGCCAGCAGCCGCGGUAAUACGAAGGGGGCUAGCGUUGUUCGGAUUUACUGGGCGUAAAGCGCGUGUAGGCGGGUCGUUAAGUUGGGGGUGAAAUCCCGAGGCUCAACCUCGGAACUGCCUUCAAAACUGGCGACCUGGACCCAAGUAGAGGCAAGUGGAAUUGCGAGUGUAGAGGUGAAAUUCGUAGAUAUUCGCAGGAACACCAGUGGCGAAGGCGACUUGCUGGACUUGUGGUGACGCUGAGACGCGAAAGCGUGGGGAGCAAACAGG